CUUUCGAUGGUAGGAUAGAGGCCUACCAUGGNGGUAACGGGUAACGGGGUGUUAGGGCACGACACCGGAGAGGGAGCCUGAGAAACGGCUACCACAUCCAAGGAUGGCAGCAGGCGCGCAAAUUACCCAAUCCCGACACGGGGAGGUAGUGACAAUAAAUAACAAUACGGGGUUCUUUCGGAUUUCGUAAUUGGAAUGAGUACAAUUUAAAUCUCUUAACGAGGAACAAUUGGAGGGCAAGUCUGGUGCCAGCAGCCGCGGUAAUUCCAGCUCCAAUAGCGUAUAUUAAAGUUGUUGCAGUUAAAAAGCUCGUAGUUGAAUUUCGGGAUCAAUAUGUUGGUCGUGCCUUGGUACGUACUGGCGUCAUUGGUUUCUACCUUCUGAAGAACCUCGAUGUCAUUAAUUUGGUGUCUUGGGGAAUCAGGACUGUUACUUUGAAAAAAUUAGAGUGUUUAAAGCAGGCUCACGCUUGAAUACAUUAGCAUGGAAUAAUGAAAUAGGACGUUUGAUUCUAUUUUGUUGGUUUCUAGGAUCGACGUAAUGAUUAAUAGGGAUAGUUGGGGGCAUUAGUAUUCAAUUGUCAGAGGUGAAAUUCUUGGAUUUAUUGAAGACUAACUACUGCGAAAGCAUUUGCCAAGGAUGUUUUCAUUAAUCAAGAACGAAAGUUAGGGGAUCGAAGACGAUCAGAUACCGUCGUAGUCUUAACCAUAAACUAUGCCGACUAGGGAUCGGAUGAUGUUAAUUUUUUAAUGACUCAUUCGGCGCCUUACGGGAAACCAAAGUGUUUGGGUUC
This 793-nucleotide ribosomal RNA is filed under the name uncultured Glomus. RNAcentral's name for it is "SSU rRNA". It matches the Rfam family "Eukaryotic small subunit ribosomal RNA", at positions 319 to 1114 of the family's 1831-position model. The record is from RNAcentral. Lineage: Eukaryota; Fungi; Glomeromycota; Glomeromycetes; Glomerales; Glomeraceae.